CGACCGGCGCACGGGUGAGUAACGCGUAUCCAACCUGCCCACCACUCGGGAUAACCUUGCGAAAGUAAGACUAAUACCCAAUGAUAUCUCUAGAAGACAUCUGAAAGAGAUUAAAGAUUUAUCGGUGAUGGAUGGGGAUGCGUCUGAUUAGCUUGUUGGCGGGGUAACGGCCCACCAAGGCGACGAUCAGUAGGGGUUCUGAGAGGAAGGUCCCCCACAUUGGAACUGAGACACGGUCCAA
This 241-nucleotide ribosomal RNA is filed under the name uncultured bacterium. RNAcentral's name for it is "partial 16S ribosomal RNA". It matches the Rfam family "Bacterial small subunit ribosomal RNA", at positions 92 to 334 of the family's 1533-position model. The record is from RNAcentral.